RNAcentral lists this ribosomal RNA (1365 nucleotides) under Tyspanodes hypsalis. RNAcentral describes it as "16S ribosomal RNA". The stretch from base 1090 to 1248 matches the Rfam family "Eukaryotic large subunit ribosomal RNA", at positions 2825 to 2984 of the family's 3401-position model. Lineage: Eukaryota; Metazoa; Arthropoda; Insecta; Lepidoptera; Crambidae. The record is from RNAcentral.
GAAGAAGAAAUUAAUAAUUUUAUAAAUAAUAAAAAUAGUUUUAAUAUUAAAAUUGGGGGGUUUUAGUAUUAAUAAAAAAAAAAUUAUAAAAUUUAUAGUUAAUUAGUAUUGUGAAAGAAUUUUUAAAUAUUUUGAAAAUAAAUUUAAUUUAAAGUAAAAUUUAUUUUUUGUAUCUUGUGUAUCAGAGUUUAUUAAUUUAAUUAUUUUGUUAAAAUAUUUCUCGAAUUUAAAAGAGAUAAAUAGUUAUAAAAGUUAUUGUUACAUAAAUAUUUUAAAUAAUUAUUUUGAAAUGAAAUGUUAAUCGUUUUUAAAAAUAUCUAGUUUUUUUAGAAAAAAAUUUAAUUUUUUUUUUUUUUAUAUUUAUUUAAUUAAUUAAAUAAAUGUAAAAAAAAAAAUAUAUUUUAAGGGAUAAGCUUUAAAUUAAAUUUUUAUAAUUUAAUAAAAUUUUUAAUUAAAAUUUUUAAAAUUUAUAUUGUUUAUAAUUUUUAAUUUAUUAUAAAUAAUUUUAUUUACAAAUAAAAUUUUAUUAAAAUUUAAAUUUUUAUAAAAAAAUUAUUUUAAAUAAAAAAAAUUAAAAUAUAAUGAUAAAAUUAGUAUUUAUAUUAAAAUUAAUAUGUAAAUAAUAAAAAUUAAUUUUAAAGAAUUCGGCAAAUUUAAAAUAAAGUAUGUAUAUAUAUCCCCUUGUUUAUCAAAAACAUGUCUUUUUGGAAAUAAUUUAAAGUUUAAUUUGCCCCCUGAUAUUAUAUUAAAGGGCUGCAGUAUAUUGACUGUACAAAGGUAGCAUAAUCAAUAGUCUCUUAAUUAGUGACUUGUAUGAAGGAUUGAAUGAGAUAUAAGCUGUUUCAAUUUUAAAAAAAAAAAUUAAUUUUUUAGUUAAAAAGCUAAAAUAAAUUUAAAAGACGAGAAGACCCUAUAGAGUUUAAUUAUUAUUAUUAUUAAAAUUAUAUAUUUAAAUAUUAAUUAAAAUAAUAAUAAUAAUUUUAUUGGGGUGAUAAAAAAAUAAAAAAAACUUUUUUUAAGAAAAAAUUCAUAAAUAAUUGAGUUAAAUGAUCCAAAAAUAUUUUGAUUAAAAGAAAAAAUUACCUUAGGGAUAACAGCGUAAUUUUUUUUUUUAGUUCAAAUAAGAAAAAAAGUUUGCGACCUCGAUGUUGGAUUAAGAUAAAAUUUAUAUGCAAAAGUUUAAAAUUUUGAUCUGUUCGAUCAUUAAAAUCUUACAUGAUCUGAGUUCAAACCGGUGUGAGCCAGGUUGGUUUCUAUCUUUAGAAUGUUAAAAUAUUUUAGUACGAAAGGAAUUAAUAUUUAAAUUAAAUUUAAUUUUGGAAUUUUAUUAAAUAAUUUAUAAAAUAAUGAAUUUAUAGUUUAAUU